AACAGAAAUCUAUGAAAUUUUAACAUAAGGUCUAUGACCACAAAAGGAAGGUUGGGAUUGAUUUUGGGAGUUUUGGUCCCAACAGUUUAGGAAUUAGGGGCCAAAAACAGGUCCCAAAUAAGCAUUUUUCUUGGUUUUUGCACAGUAACUUUAGUAUAAGUGAAUAGAAAUCUAUGAAAUUUUAACACAAAGUUUAUGACC
Molecule: long non-coding RNA, 201 nt
Filed under: Mytilus galloprovincialis (Mediterranean mussel)
Lineage: Eukaryota; Metazoa; Mollusca; Bivalvia; Mytilida; Mytilidae
Source: RNAcentral